GUGGAAACACGUCUUCCUUUACGGGCAAGAUCACAGGUGGUGCAUGGCUGUCGUCAGCUCGUGUCGUGAGAUGUUGGGUUAAGUCCCGCAACGAGCGCAACCCCCGUCGUAUGUUGCCAGCAUUUAGUUGGGGACUCAUGCGAGACUGCCGGUGGCAAACCGGAGGAAGGGGGGGAUGACGUCAAGUCAUCAUGCCCCUUAUGUCCAGGGCUA
This 213-nucleotide ribosomal RNA is filed under the name Patulibacter sp. 115. RNAcentral's name for it is "partial 16S ribosomal RNA". It matches the Rfam family "Bacterial small subunit ribosomal RNA", at positions 1000 to 1216 of the family's 1533-position model. Lineage: Bacteria; Bacillati; Actinomycetota; Thermoleophilia; Solirubrobacterales; Patulibacteraceae. The record is from RNAcentral.